UAGGCUCGAAAUGUACAGGAAUCCGGUGGAAACAUCGGCGUCCCGCAAGGGAUCUGUAUAU
This 61-nucleotide ribosomal RNA is filed under the name uncultured organism. Its description in RNAcentral is "partial 16S ribosomal RNA". The record is from RNAcentral.